This 5609-nucleotide long non-coding RNA is filed under the name Marmota monax (woodchuck). Lineage: Eukaryota; Metazoa; Chordata; Mammalia; Rodentia; Sciuridae. The record is from RNAcentral.
CACCUGCAUAUCUCCAAGGGAUGCAGACUUUUUGAGCUCUGAAGAGUGGGAACCAUCAUUCUGAGAAAAAGUUCAGCAAGGAAAGUUUAAAACUACUGUGUCUGCUCCCUCUGGGUCAGGCCCAACGAAGGAAGGCAAACAAACGGAGACCUUCUUUCUUGCCCCACAUAGUUCUUAUGUAAUGGAAUGAGGAGAAUAAGAACUUGGAUAUUAACUUGAAUAAGAACAAAUGCCUUGCUGGGGACUUGCAGCCUGAGUGAGUGGGCAGUGGUGACAGGACAGAGAUGCCCCAGAAGGAAGUGGAAGGAACAAGUGUGUUCUGGAGUCUGGCCACGUGCUAUUUCCGUGGCUGCUCACCUUGCUCGUUGUCACCGUUGCCCGCUGUCAAGCAGGCAUUUGGCCCAAAAGGAAAGUCUGAAAGUGGAAGCGAAGCAUAAAGGUGUUUGUCAUGGGCGCAUGCUGGGCAUAGUACCCUGGAAGCCUUUGCUGUUAGUCACCAUAGAAGGGGCAAAGUGGCAGCUGCUCCAGCUCUGGGUAAAAUAAAUGGUUACUUUUGUCACCAAGCACAGUCCUCAGCCUGGCAGUGAGCUUGCCAGCUCUUUGAGGUGGGAGGACGGACUUGAGAGUGGCUCUUAAUACUUCCCAUGAAGUCUGACUGUCUUUUGUUCUCUUUCCAGGAGUCUGGAACGAAACAGGUGGAAGUAGCCAGGGUGUGGACAUUUCUCCAGAGGACACCCUCAGACAGUCAAGGCAAGAAGACGGGUGGGCAUCAGGCCUCAUCUUAGCAGUCAGGGGUGUUGCUCAGUUUCCUAUGGGUGGUGGUGGUGGGGCUGCCUGGGCUCUGCAUUCUCACCUCUCUGCAUGUCCCCAGCCAGGGCUGUUUCCUUUGCUGGCAGAAGAGCUGAACCCUGAGAGACUGCACACAGGCCUUGUGCUCUUCAGAAGCAUGAAGUCAGCCCUGCGGAAUGAGGCAGCUUGGCUGGUGUCCAGCAGCUCUAGAGGUGCUGUUUGUCGGGCUCUGGGUUCUUGCUGGCCUGCUUGCCAAGCUUUUGCAAGGGGCCAGAAGUGCUUUAGUUGCCCCAGCUGUGGGGUUGCAGGGGUGAGGAGGGGCUGGCAUGGGGGGGAUCUUGCCUGCAGAGUGUUGACUCUGUCCAUGUCAUGCCUCUGGAAGCAUCCCUUGCUGAAAUGGGGAGCUUGCUGGGCCAGGUUGCAAAGACACAGGUGGCCUUGGAUGAGGAACCUAACGCCUCUGAGCCACAGCUCUUUCCUCUGAAAAGUGAAGGGACUCCUCAUGUAAAGUGGCAGCCGCUUACAGGUUUAAGACAAGCAGAAAACAUCUCAUUUCCCCUGGUCACAGUGGGGGUAAGAAGAGGGCUGCUGACCCAGUCCUGGGGUGACUUGGUGACUGUUUGCACAAGAUAACUCAGCAUACUGGAAGCGUACACUUCCUUGUUUGAGCCACUUGGAGCUGGGUAUUCUUGUAGCUGACUCGGUUGACAAAAUUGCCUGUGUGUAGACAAGGUCUCAAAGGGAUAGGGGGGAUUGAGGGCAGGUGCUUUAGGGUAUCACUUUCCCCUGCCUGUGGGCUAAAGGCUCCCAGCUGAUAGGAAUAAUUCCUCUACGUGUCUCUCCAGCGGCUCCCACCUCGCCCAGCUGCCCUGUAGGGCUAGGGCUGAUUCGCUCUGCUACUGCAGAGACUCCUGCUGCUAAGAAGUAGCAGGGCUGAGACUUGCACCUUUGUUGUUCUCACUCCAAGCUGGGUGUGUGCCUCUUCAGAUGCACCAGGUCGUUCUUGGGGUAGCUGAGUUUCUGCUAGGGGGGUUGGAAAGGCCAGCAGUGCACAGCAGUGGGAAGGGACAGAGCAAGUACCACUUGGGGCAAAAUGGGUACAUCACAUACCAUGUCAGAUGUCCCCCAAACAAAAUCAAGUCCAUUUAAAAGCACUCUAGUGGGGCACGGUGGCACAUUCCUUUAAUCCCAGCAAUUUGGAGGCUAGGGCAGGAGGGUUACAAGCUCAAGGCUAGUCUGGACAAUUUAGUGAGACUUUGUUUCAAAAUAAAAAGGGUUGAGGGUGUAGCUCAGCAGCAGAGCACUUGCCUAGACUGUGGGAGUCUCUGGGUCUGAUCUCCAGCAUGGCCAAAAACCAAAUAAAAAAUAAAUAAAUUUACCAUAUGACCUGUACUCUUAGAGCAUGUAUGUGCCCAAGAGAAAUGAAAACAGAGGUCCAAAGCCUAGUACACCAGUAUUCUUAGCAGAAUCAUUCAUAAUAGCCUGAAUAUAAUCCACCAACUGAUGAAUAAACAAAGUGUGGUAUAUCCACAGAAUGAACCACUACUCCUCAGCAAUAAAAAGGGAAAACCUAUGGGUAUAUACAACAGGAUGGAUGACACUCAAAAACAUGCUAAGCGAAAGAAGCCAGACACAAAAGAUAUUGUACAGUUCCACUUGUAUGAAAUUUCUAGAAAAGAUAGUGGUAUAGAGUUUGGAAGCAGAUUAGCAGUUGCUUGGGGAUAUUCAUGGUGGGUGGGUGGGGCUGACUGCAGAUGGGCAGGAGGAGCUCCUGGGUUAUUUACGGAAGUGUUCUAAGAUGAAGUGGGGAGGGUGCACAACUGUAUGCAUUUGCACAACUAUAUGCAUUUAUAAAUGGGCCCACUUAUAAUGAGUUUUGUGUGAUAUAAAUUAUACCUCAAAGUUGUAAAAGAUGUUCGCAGCAGCAUUCUUCUUUUUUUGGGGGGUGGGGUGGGUACUCUACCGAUGAGCCACAUCCCCAGCCCUAUUUUUGUAUUUUUUUAAAUUUAGAGACAGGGUCUCUGAAUUGGUUUGUGCCUUGCUUUUGCUGAGGCUGGCUUAGAAUUAGCAAUCCUCCUGUCUCAGCCUCCUAAGCCGCUGGGAUUACAAGUAUGUGCCAUUGCACCCAGCAGCAGCAUUACUCAUAAUUGCCCCAAAUUGGAAAUAGCUCAACUGUUCAUCAACAGUAGACAGGAUACAUAACUUGUGAUGUGUUUAUUCAGUGGAACACAUUGAGCAGCAUUAAUGCGUGAAUUAGAGCUACGUGAGAAAACGUGGGCAUAAUGUUGAAUGAAAAAAAAUAUGAUUGCAAAAGAAUGAAAUGUAUUCUGUUUCAAUUUUGAUAAAUAUAAUGUUAAAUAGUAUUUUGCAGGUGGCCGUGAACUUCUAGGAGCAUCUGCACCAGGCCCCACACACCAAACCAAUAUAGUUUAAUUGCAGUGACUGAGCUGUGGUUGGUUGCACGAGGCACUGUAGCCAAUUAAGCUGUAAGCAAUUAACUAGUUAAUCUGUAACCAAUUGACUGGUUGAUUGACUAGGCUAUAGACAAUUAGGUUGUUUUCCCAGCCUCACUUCUGCUCUCCUGUAAGUGAUCACACUCUUCUGGCUUCAGGAGCUGCCGGAUUUGAGAAUUGUUUUUGUGUUGCUCAAACACACUUCACUGAAUUUAUUUGGUCUAAGAAAUUUUAACACCAAAAAAACAUGCAAAACUGAUUUAAGAAACAAACAUAUCUGGUACAGCUGUAGGGGAGAGCAAGGGAAUGACUGGGAGGCUUGGGACAGUGCUUCUCUGGGGACCGUGUGGGACCAGAGAAGGCGAUUGAAGGCGAUGGAAAAGCACAUGGUUUAUACAUAGUUAUUCUGUACACCUUGCGCUCGCUCGCUCUCUCUCUCUCUCUCUCUCUCUCUGUAUUUGUCUUUUGAAGCUACAUACUAAAAAUGAGAAGUUUUGCUGCAUGUGGUGGGGGUACCUAGUAGUCCCAGCUACUCGAGAGACCAAGGCAGGGGAAUCGCUUGAUUCUGGGAGUUUGGGGUCAGCCUGGGCCACACAGUGAGACCUUAUUUCCUAAAAAUAGGGGAAAAAAGUUUUGGCAAAGUGUGAAUUAUUUGCAGUCUUUGGUCCUUUAUUAUUAGUAGGUCCUGGCUAGACACUGCCGUUGAGAAUUACUGCUCCAGGCCUGGGGUGUAGCUAGUGGCAGGGCACUUGCCUAGCAUGUGUGAACCCUGGGUUCAGUCCUCUAUACCGCACAGACACAGACACACAAUGGAGAAGGGAGAAGUACUGCUUCAGGUUGUAACGCAUCCCCUCCUGGAUGAUCUGGCUUCUCUAUCCAGGAGGACACCCAUCUCCACUUGGAGUUGGUUAGAGGAGUUUCCAUCCUUUCUCCCCUGGGUGUGGGAGAUGGACUGGGAAGCAGAACUCGGGCAGCCCCAGGCAGGGCCUUUGGCUUCUUUGUGAAGUUGAGCAUGGCGUGGUAGAAGGAGGAAGUCCAGGGCAACCAGAGCAUCUACUCCAAUGGCCAACCCUAGGGAUCUCAGUGUGAGGCAGGAAACGUUGAACAAGGCUUUGUCUGUGGAGAGGGGAUGCUUCUACUGGGGGGUCUCGUGUGAUCGACUCGCCCUUUGUGCCUAACAGCCUUGCCGCACCACAGCAAGGACACCUGUAAUCUAGUGUAUGUCACAUUCAAGCUUGCUUUUGCUAAAUUUUUCUUGGGGUUAUAAUUUCACUUUUCCAUCUGUUUAUAACUUUGAAAUGUUGCAUGAACUGUGUCUUCAUGGUUGGCAUUUUAUGGUCCAAUGGGUUGUAAAUUAAAGAGUUAAGUUUAGGAAAUUAAACUGUGCACACACAACCUAGAAGGAAAUGCAUGUAAAUAUUUAUUCCUUUUCUGAACAGGGAGGGUCUUGAAAGGCAUUUAGAUGAUGGAUGAAAUUCCAAAGGAAAAAGCAAAAGAUCUAACAACCUGGGGGCAAAGAGGGUAUAAAACAGUAACAAUGACAAAGUUUUAAAGGGCCACAGCAAACGACUGUUUAUGGCAAAUAUCUUUAUAAAACAUGACAAAUACCUCCCCAAAAUAAGGUUUCUAAAAUGUCUAUUGCACAUAUGAGAAUACAGGGCCACUGUUUUUAUUGUUGAUAUUUACUUAUGUAAACAAACCUUGCUGGGCAAGGUGGUGCAUGCCUGUAAUCCCAGCUAUUUGGGGAGACUGAGGCAGUCAGGGAGACUGAUUUCAAGUCCCAGGCCAGCCUAGGCAACUUAGGCCCUGUCUCACACUAAAAAUAGAAGUGACUGGGGGUGGAGGCCAGUGGUAGAGCACCCCUGGGUUCAAUUCCCAGUGACAGCACACACACACACACACACACACACACGGCUGGGAGUGUGGCUCAGUGGUAGAGCACUUGCCUAGCAUGUGUGAGGCCCUGGGUUCCGUCCCUGGCACUGUAAAAACCAACCCAAGCAAAACCAUGAACUGAUUAGAAAAUGAACAUAGAAGUAGAAGAUAGGCAAUGUGUAUGGAAAAAGGAUUCUUGGAGGAAAUAAAAUAACUAAUAAAUAAAUAACUCACUUCAGAGUGUACCAAAUCGUCUCCACGUCUCCACACGACUCCACAGCACACUGUUCAAACCAGGGUGAAGGUACCUGUCGCCUCAGACACCAUUUCCGUAUGGUGAAAACAUUCAGAAUGCCUUUUUCUAGAUUUUUGAAAUACAUAUUUUACUUUUCUCAAUGCACAUUACUAUUAUAGUAAUUAAAACUAAAAUUAUUAAAAAUGUGGGGCUGGGGUUGUGGCUCUGUGGAAGCGCACUCGUCUGGCAUGUGUGAG